UGGGUAAUCAACCCUUCAGCUUGGGAUAACGACUUGAAAGGGUCGCUAAUACCGGAUACGGCGCGAGAGGCUUCGGCUUCUCACGAGAAAGCCUCGCAAGGGGCACUGAAGGACGAGCCUGCGGCCCAUCAGCUAGUUGGUGAGGUAAGAGCUCACCAAGGCUAAGACGGGUAGCUGGUCUGAGAGGAUGAUCAGCCACACUGGGACUGAGACACGGCCCAGACUCCG
This 228-nucleotide ribosomal RNA is filed under the name uncultured bacterium. RNAcentral's name for it is "partial 16S ribosomal RNA". It matches the Rfam family "Bacterial small subunit ribosomal RNA", at positions 118 to 340 of the family's 1533-position model. The record is from RNAcentral.